Molecule: long non-coding RNA, 1299 nt
Filed under: Anser cygnoides (Swan goose)
Lineage: Eukaryota; Metazoa; Chordata; Aves; Anseriformes; Anatidae
Description: lncRNA (ENSACDG00005002835.1)
Source: RNAcentral
AUGGAUGUGUCCCCAUGGAUGUGUCCCCGGCUGGCCUCGAGCCCCAAAACCGGGGACUCGGUGGCUUUUUGGGCUGGGGUCUGUCCUGUGGAGGGGUGUGGGGGGCAAGCCAUGUGCAAGCAGCGUGCCCUGGCCACUUUUUGUUUGGAAGCCCUAAAAAUAGGAGCAGGGAGAUUGUAUUUUUCUGAUCAUGGAUGUAACCCAAGCACGGGGGCUCUGUGUGCUCCGGGGUGCCCCUGGGGGCUGUCACCCCCAGCCCCCUGUGCAGGAGGGGACUUCUGGCCUGGAUGCUGCAGUAUUUUGGGGAGGAGCGGGGGGGACAGGACACACCGCUGGCUUGUGUACCCAUGCACCCCCCCAGGGACCCCGAAAUUGUCCCUGAGCAUCCCCAGCAGGGGGAUGGCUGGGGUCUGUGGGACCCCCACCCCCCACCCCCCAGUGUUGGGGACAGCCCAAUCACCCUGGCGGGUUGGGGAAGGGGAGGGGAGGAGGUGGGGACGGUUUUGGGGGGGGUGCCAGCAGGAGGGAGCCGCGCAUCCACCCCGUGCUAUUUGCAGCCCAGCCCUGCUAAAUCAGGCCCCCACCUGUCCCGGCGGCAGGGGAAAGAAUCCCACACCCCAAAAUAGCCGCGUGCCUUCCCCUUGCCCAUGGAAAAUGCUUAUACAUCCUGGGGGUGGGGGGGGGCGGGGGCUGCUUGGACCCCGGGAUGGCCCCCGCUGCGCCUGCCAGCACCCAUGGGUGCCAGCGGGGAGCCCCCGCUGUGACAGCAAAGGGGUUCCCCAAAUGUCCCCACUAUGGGGAAGGGGGAUGCUGCCCCCUCAGUGGGGUCCCCAGUGGGUUUUUUUGGGGGGGGGGACCCCCAGCAGCAGGGCUGUCCCCACGGUGUCACCCACGUGCCAGGCGUGUGCCUGCCGUCACCUCCGGGCACGGGGACGUGCGGGAUGUUUUCCACUGCGAGCGAUCGGCCGGGGGACAAAAAUACCCUCGGGAGGGUGGGGGGACACCGGUGGGGCCCAGCUGGGGGUUACUGGGGCUCCUGCUGCUUGCCAGCCCCAUGGGGUGGGGUGCUGGGGGCACUGGGGGCACUGGGAGCGCUGGAGGAGUUCUAGGAUAUUGAGGCACUGGUGUAUUGGGAGCACUGGGGGCCGUGGAGGUGCUGUAGGAACUGGGAGCGCUGGGAUGCUGGGAGCACUGGGGGCCCUGAAAGCUCUGGGAACAUUGGCCUAUUGGGUGUACUGGGAGUACUGGGGUGGUGCUGGGGUAAGUAGAGCACUGGGGGCACUGGGAGCACUGGAAUAA